GAAGUCCACUGAACCUUAUCAUUUAGAGGAAGGAGAAGUCG
This 41-nucleotide ribosomal RNA is filed under the name Coffea brassii. RNAcentral describes it as "partial 18S ribosomal RNA". The record is from RNAcentral. Lineage: Eukaryota; Viridiplantae; Streptophyta; Magnoliopsida; Gentianales; Rubiaceae.